This 253-nucleotide ribosomal RNA is filed under the name uncultured bacterium. RNAcentral describes it as "partial 16S ribosomal RNA". It matches the Rfam family "Bacterial small subunit ribosomal RNA", at positions 524 to 776 of the family's 1533-position model. The record is from RNAcentral.
UACGUAGGGUGCAAGCGUUAAUCGGAAUUACUGGGCGUAAAGCGUGCGCAGGCGGUUUUGUAAGUCAGAUGUGAAAUCCCCGGGCUUAACCUGGGAACUGCGUUUGAAACUACAAGGCUAGAGUGUGGCAGAGGGGGGUGGAAUUCCACGUGUAGCAGUGAAAUGCGUAGAGAUGUGGAGGAACACCGAUGGCGAAGGCAGCCCCCUGGGUUAACACUGACGCUCAGGCACGAAAGCGUGGGGAGCAAACAAG